RNAcentral lists this ribosomal RNA (519 nucleotides) under uncultured bacterium. RNAcentral describes it as "bacterial SSU rRNA". It matches the Rfam family "Bacterial small subunit ribosomal RNA", at positions 791 to 1304 of the family's 1533-position model. The record is from RNAcentral.
UAGUCCACGCCCUAAACGAUGGGUGUUUAUUUUUGAUUAUUCAGAAAUGUAGUUAACACGUUUAACACCCCGCCUGGGAACUACGAUUGCAAAAUUAAAACUCAAAGGAAUUGACGGGGACUUACACAAGCAGUGGAGCAUGUGGUUUAAUUCGAUGAUAAGCGAAGAACCUUACCAGGACUUGACAUGGUAGCUUAAGCCGGUGCGAAAGCAUUUGGUGGAUUUAAGCUUGCUUAAAACAGUUAUCACAGGUGCUGCAUGGCUGUCGUCAGCUCGUGCCGUGAGGUGUCCGGUUAAGUCCGGUAACGAGCGCAACCCCUAUCUUUAGUUGCCAGCAUUUCGGAUGGGCACUCUAAAGGGACUGCCGGUGACAAACCGGAGGAAGGUGGGGACGACGGUCAAGUCAGCAUGGCCCUUACGUCCUGGGCUACACACAUGCUACAAUGGCUAGUACAAUGGGUUGCCAAAUCGCGAGAUGGAGCCAAUCCCAUCAAAGCUAGUCUAAGUUCGGAUUGCAGG